This 64-nucleotide transfer RNA is filed under the name Aneurus similis. RNAcentral describes it as "tRNA-Glu". The record is from RNAcentral. Lineage: Eukaryota; Metazoa; Arthropoda; Insecta; Hemiptera; Aradidae.
AUUCGCGUAGUUUAGAGAAAACGCACCAUUUUCAGUGGUGAAACAAAUAAGUAUUUCACGAAUA